UAAUACGGAGGGUGCAAGCGUUAUCCGGAUUCACUGGGUUUAAAGGGUGCGUAGGCGGGUAUAUAAGUCAGUGGUGAAAGCUCCGAGCUUAACUUGGAAACUGCCAUUGAUACUGUAUACCUUGAAUGUCGUAGAGGUUAGCGGAAUGUUGCAUGUAGCGGUGAAAUGCUUAGAUAUGUUACAGAACACCAAUUGCGAAGGCAGCUAACUAUGCGAUAAUUGACGCUGAGGCACGAAAGCGUGGGGAGCAAACAGGAUUAGAUACCCUGGUAGUCCACGCCCUAAACGAUGAUUACUCGAUGUUGGCGAUACACUGUCAGCGUCUUAGCGAAAGCGUUAAGUAAUCCACCUGGGGAGUACGCUCGCAAGAGUG
Molecule: ribosomal RNA, 373 nt
Filed under: uncultured bacterium
Lineage: Bacteria
Description: bacterial SSU rRNA
Rfam family: Bacterial small subunit ribosomal RNA
Source: RNAcentral